This 497-nucleotide ribosomal RNA is filed under the name uncultured bacterium. RNAcentral describes it as "partial 16S ribosomal RNA". It matches the Rfam family "Bacterial small subunit ribosomal RNA", at positions 28 to 507 of the family's 1533-position model. The record is from RNAcentral.
GACGAACGCUGGCGGCGUGCCUAAUACAUGCAAGUUGAGCGAUGAAGAUUGGUGCUUGCACCAAUUUGAAGAGCAGCGAACGGGUGAGUAACGCGUGGGGAAUCUGCCUUUGAGCGGGGGACAACAUUUGGAAACGAAUGCUAAUACCGCAUAACAACUUUAAACAUAAGUUUUAAGUUUGAAAGAUGCAAUUGCAUCACUCAAAGAUGAUCCCGCGUUGUAUUAGCUAGUUGGUGAGGUAAAGGCUCACCAAGGCGAUGAUACAUAGCCGACCUGAGAGGGUGAUCGGCCACAUUGGGACUGAGACACGGCCCAAACUCCUACGGGAGGCAGCAGUAGGGAAUCUUCGGCAAUGGACGAAAGUCCGACCGAGCAACGCCGCGUGAGUGAAGAAGGGUUUCGGAUCGUAAAACUCUGUUGGUAGAGAAGAACGUUGGUGAGAGUGGAAAGCUCAUCAAGUGACGGUAACUACCCAGAAAGGGACGGCUAACUACGUG